RNAcentral lists this ribosomal RNA (401 nucleotides) under uncultured bacterium. RNAcentral describes it as "bacterial SSU rRNA". It matches the Rfam family "Bacterial small subunit ribosomal RNA", at positions 356 to 774 of the family's 1533-position model. The record is from RNAcentral.
GGGGAAUAUUGGACAAUGGGCGCAAGCCUGAUCCAGCAAUGCCGCGUGGGUGAAGAAGGUCUUCGGAUUGUAAAUCCCUUUCGGCGGGGACGAUGAUGACGGUACCCGCAGAAGAAGCUCCGGCUAACUUCGUGCCAGCAGCCGCGGUAAUACGAAGGGGGCUAGCGUUGCUCGGAAUGACUGGGCGUAAAGGGCGCGUAGGCGGUUUGUACAGUCGGGUGUGAAAUUCCUGGGCUUAACCUGGGGGCUGCAUUCGAUACGUGCGGGCUUGAGUGUGGAAGAGGGUUGUGGAAUUCCCAGUGUAGAGGUGAAAUUCGUAGAUAUUGGGAAGAACACCGGUGGCGAAGGCGGCAACCUGGUCCAUGACUGACGCUGAGGCGCGAAAGCGUGGGGAGCAAACA